This 849-nucleotide long non-coding RNA is filed under the name Musa acuminata (dwarf banana). RNAcentral's name for it is "long non-coding RNA (MACU_LNC001896)". The record is from RNAcentral. Lineage: Eukaryota; Viridiplantae; Streptophyta; Magnoliopsida; Zingiberales; Musaceae.
CCAUACAUCGUGAGAGGUUUAGGUCAACAUAUUACAUUGCAAUUUUCUGCAAAGCUCGAUCGACCACCUAUGGCAGGAGUGGAAAGGCCUCAUGUUCGUUUCUUCGUCACAAGGCCCAACAGCUCUUGCUUAUUUAGUGGAACAGAACUCACUAAGAAACAGAGUGGCGCAAAUUCCAGCUUCAAGUGCCCAGCAAUCAGAUAAGAGAUCAACCCAUAGAUAUGUAUACAGAGAUAGAUAUCUAUAUACAAUGACUCUGAGCUCUUAGCAGUAGCAGUAGCAGUAGCAGUAGCAGUUUUGCGGGCGCACUCCAACCUAUGGGCUGACGCAGUCGACGAGCAUGGACACGGCAGCUUCCGUGCAAGGCAAAGGCAGCCAGGGGCGAGGCUUGAUCCUGAUCGCCUGGCUCAAAGGAAGCUCCUGCGGCUCACCGCCUCCCUCCAUCUCCGCCUUCGGUCUCGAACUCCCUGAGAAGGCAGCACGACCCUUCUCCCGAAGCUUCGCGAGCUCGGCCGUCCACGUAUCCACCAAGUUGGACAUUGUGAUCAGAGACUGCAGCAACGACGACGAUGGCUGACAAGCGACAGUCCAAGGAGAAGAAACAACACCAAGAGGAACAACUUACGAUGGAAGGAUGAGGCCUAGGGAGGUUGAUAAGGAGCAGCAGACGAGCUUAUCCAUUCCAAAACCAGGGCCUUUGGAAUCCUGGAGCCGCCAGUCUAUGGGAGGGAGCCCGCAGCUUCAUAAGAGCCCGAGGUAUAUGGCAUCAAAGCCAUUACAGAACGAGUCUUCCUUUUGUGCAUCACAUCACAUCCAUCAUCUCUCUCUCUCUCUCUCUCGCGUCUUCUG